RNAcentral lists this ribosomal RNA (158 nucleotides) under Pocillopora verrucosa. Its description in RNAcentral is "5.8S ribosomal RNA". It matches the Rfam family "5.8S ribosomal RNA". Rfam says of the family: 5.8S ribosomal RNA (5.8S rRNA) is a component of the large subunit of the eukaryotic ribosome. It is transcribed by RNA polymerase I as part of the 45S precursor that also contains 18S and 28S rRNA. Functionally, it is thought that 5.8S rRNA may be involved in ribosome translocation. Lineage: Eukaryota; Metazoa; Cnidaria; Anthozoa; Scleractinia; Pocilloporidae. The record is from RNAcentral.
CUUUUGACGGUGGAUCUCUAGGCUCACGCAUCGAUGAAGAACGCAGCCAGCUGCGAUAAGUAGUGUGAAUUGCAGAAUUCAGUGAAUCAUCGAAUCUUUGAACGCAAAUGGCGCUCUUGGGUUCUCCCAGGAGCAUGUCUGUCUGAGUGUCUAUUCAA